UACAACGUUUUUACUAUUUGUCUUAUUUGAAUUUUUUUACGAUUAAUAUUGAUAUUGUUUGUAGAUGAUAAAAGAUAAAUAGUACUUUAUGCGUGAAUAUUUUUUAAAAAAAUUUUGUACAAAAUUUUUAAAUAAGACGAAUGGUCAAACUUUGGACAAGAAAUC
Molecule: microRNA precursor, 165 nt
Filed under: Oryza brachyantha (malo sina)
Lineage: Eukaryota; Viridiplantae; Streptophyta; Magnoliopsida; Poales; Poaceae
Description: MIR812 microRNA precursor family
Rfam family: MIR812 microRNA precursor family
Source: Rfam by way of RNAcentral